GAUGAACGCUGGCGGCGUGCCUAAUACAUGCAAGUCGAGCGAACGGACGAUAAGCUUGCUCCUCUGAUGUUAGCGGCUGACGGGUGAGUAACACGUGGAUAAGCUACCUAUAUUACUGGGAUAACUUCGGGAAACCGGAGCUAAUACUGGAUAAUAUUUUGAACCGCAUGGUUCAAAAGUGAAAGACGGUUUUGCUGUCACUUAUAGAUGGAUCCGCGCUGCAUUAGCUAGUUGGUAAGGUAACGGCUUACCAAGGCAACGAUGCAUAGCCGACCUGAGAGGGUGAUCGGCCACACUGGAACUGAGACACGGUCCAGACUCCUACGGGAGGCAGCAGUAGGGAAUAUUCCGCAAUGGGCGCAAGCCUGACGGAGCAACGCCGCGUGAGUGAUGAAGGUCUUCGGAUCGUAAAGCUCUGUUGUUAGGGAAGAACAUAUGUGUAAGUAACUGUGCACAUCUUGACGGUACCUAAUCAGAAAGCCACGGCUAACUACGUG
RNAcentral lists this ribosomal RNA (497 nucleotides) under uncultured bacterium. RNAcentral's name for it is "partial 16S ribosomal RNA". It matches the Rfam family "Bacterial small subunit ribosomal RNA", at positions 28 to 507 of the family's 1533-position model. The record is from RNAcentral.